RNAcentral lists this ribosomal RNA (557 nucleotides) under uncultured bacterium. Its description in RNAcentral is "bacterial SSU rRNA". It matches the Rfam family "Bacterial small subunit ribosomal RNA", at positions 358 to 916 of the family's 1533-position model. The record is from RNAcentral.
GGAAUAUUGGGCAAUGGACGCAAGUCUGACCCAGCCAUGCCGCGUGCAGGAUGAAGGCGUUAUGCGUUGUAAACUGCUUUUAUACAGGAAGAAACGACUCUUGCGAGAGGCAUUGACGGUACUGUAUGAAUAAGCACCGGCUAACUCCGUGCCAGCAGCCGCGGUAAUACGGAGGGUGCAAGCGUUGUCCGGAUUUAUUGGGUUUAAAGGGUGCGCAGGUGGUUUAUUAAGUCAGUUGUGAAAGACGGUCGCUCAACGAUUGCAGUGCCAUUGAAACUGGUAGACUUGAGUAAAGUAGAGGUGGGCGGAAUUGAUAGUGUAGCGGUGAAAUGCAUAGAUAUUAUCAAGAACUCCAAUUGCGUAGGCAGCUCACUUGGCUUUUACUGACACUCAUGCACGAAAGUGUGGGUAUCAAACAGGAUUAGAUACCCUGGUAGUCCACACUGUAAACGAUGAUAACUAGGUGUCGGCCGAAUCUGGUCGGUGCCACAGCGAAAGCGUUAAGUUAUCCACCUGGGGAGUACGCCGGCAACGGUGAAACUCAAAGGAAUUGACGG